GCCUUCUUAGAUUAGGGGUAGGGCGUUCGCUUCGUAAGCGGAAGGUCGCCGGUCCGAUUCCGGCAGAAGGCU
Molecule: transfer RNA, 72 nt
Organism: Gregarina niphandrodes
Lineage: Eukaryota; Apicomplexa; Conoidasida; Eugregarinorida; Gregarinidae
Rfam family: tRNA
About the family: Transfer RNA (tRNA) molecules are approximately 80 nucleotides in length. Their secondary structure includes four short double-helical elements and three loops (D, anti-codon, and T loops).
Source: Rfam